RNAcentral lists this ribosomal RNA (274 nucleotides) under uncultured bacterium. RNAcentral describes it as "partial 16S ribosomal RNA". It matches the Rfam family "Bacterial small subunit ribosomal RNA", at positions 523 to 796 of the family's 1533-position model. The record is from RNAcentral.
CUACGGAGGGUGCGAGCGUUAAUGGGAAUUACUGGGCGUAAAGCGUACGUAGGCGGUUGGUUAAGUUAGAUGUGAAAGCCCCGGGCUUAACCUGGGAACUGCAUUUAAAACUGGCGAACUAGAGUUGAGUAGAGGGGAGUGGAAUUUCAGGUGUAGCGGUGAAAUGCGUAGAGAUCUGAAGGAACACCAGUGGCGAAGGCGACUCCCUGGACUCGAACUGACGCUGAGGUACGAAAGCGUGGGGAGCAAACAGGAUUAGAAACCCUAGUAGUCC